This 9050-nucleotide long non-coding RNA is filed under the name Malus domestica (apple). RNAcentral describes it as "long non-coding RNA (MDOM_LNC014545)". The record is from RNAcentral. Lineage: Eukaryota; Viridiplantae; Streptophyta; Magnoliopsida; Rosales; Rosaceae.
UGAAUUUUUUUUUUUUUUUUUUUUUUUUUUUUUUUUUUUUUUUUUCGUUUUCUCUACCUUUGAACUCCGCCUAUGUCUUACAUGGCCGGUCCCAAGCCCGGAUAAAGGAGGAGGGGGAGGGCGUCAGGUAGUCGACAGCCGGCACUCCAUGAUCACGUCGAAUCCUUAUGAAAAUGAAUCCAGAACAAAAUUGCGCUAAAGCUAGGGCGUCACCCGUAAGUGGCGCGCUGUGUGGCCCGAGCACAGUGAUAAGUGAGCAAGGGUCGCUGUAUCUCCAUCGGCACCCGGAUGCAGUGUUAAAUGAGCAAGGGGGCCAUAGAAACUUUUUUUCGAACGACUCCACUCAAAGUUGUUUGGGAGCAUAUGCUCCUAUCAACUUUACCCGGGACACACAAAAGAAGUACUUUUGAUCCUAUUAGACGGGGGAGGGUGAAGAAGCUAGGACAGAAGGGUAGAGUUCAAGAGAGCAAAAUGCGUUUAGGAACGUGGAAUAUAGGAACCUUAACGGGAAAAUCUAUGGAAGUAGUGGAAGUUAUGGUGAGGAGAAGGAUAAAUAUUAUGUGCCUACAAGAAACUAAGUGGGUUGGUAGUAAGGCAAAGGAUCUAGAAAACUCAGGGUUUAAACUUUGGUAUUCGGGCACAAAUAGAACGAGAAACGGUGUUGGCAUCAUCGUGGACAAGACCUUGGUACAAGAUGUUGUAGAUGUCAAGAGGGUAGGAGAUAGAAUCAUGGCAAUCAAGAUUGUAAUAGGACAAGAACUUAUCAAUGUGAUUAGUGCGUACGCACCUCAAGUAGGGUUGGAUACGAGUUCGAAGGAGAAAUUUUGGGAAGAUCUUGGAGACUUGGUGCAAGGAAUUGCUCAGACGGAGAAGUUAUUUAUAGGAGGAGAUUUAAAUGGACACGUGGGCAGGGAGACAGGCAACUAUGGAGGUUUUCAUGGUGGCCAUGGUUUUGGGGAGAGAAACGAGGAUGGGGAAGCUAUCUUGGAUUUUGCAAUGGCAUAUGAUCUCUUCUUAGCCAACACCUUCUUUAAGAAGAGAGAAGAACAUGUGAUUACCUACAAGAGUGGGUCGUCAAAAACACAAAUAGAUUUUCUUCUAAUGAGGAAAGGGGAUCGUAUAACUUGUAAGGAUUGCAAAGUUAUACCAGGAGAGAGCGUGGCUAAUCAACAUCGCUUGUUGGUGAUGGAUGUACAUAUCAAAAGAGUAAGACAAAAGAACAAGACUUGGAAGUGCCCAAGAACUAGAUGGUGGAAUCUAAAAGAAGAAAAACAAGCCAUUUUUCAAAGAGAAGGUAAUCACCCAAUGUGUGUGGGAUAGAGAGGGGGAAGCUAGCCAAAUGUGGGAUUCCAUGGCUAGUUGUAUCCGAAAAGUAGCAAAAGAGGUAUUAGGAGAGUCCAAGGGCUUUGCCCCACACCAAAAGGAAUCUUGGUGGUGGAAUGAGGAGGUACAAAUAAAGGUGAAGGCUAAGAAGGAAUGUUGUAAAGCCUUAUACAAGGAGAGGACCGAUGAAAAUGGUGAAAGGUAUAGAAAAGCGAAGCAAGAGGCGAAGAAAGCUGUCAGAGAGAAGCUAAGUUAGCGGCUUACGACGAUAUGUAUAAACGACUAGAUACCAAAGAAGGAGAGUUGGAUAUCUAUAAACUAGCUAGAGCAAGGGAAAAGAAGACAAGGGACCUAAACCAAGUGAGGUGCAUCAAGGAUGAGGAUGGAAAGGUUCUUGCUACAGAGAACGCGGUUAAAGACAGAUGGAGAGGUUAUUUUCAUAAUCUUUUCAAUGAAGGACAUGAAAGGAGUGCUUCUUUAGGGGAGUUGAGUAACUCAGAAGAGUGUAGAAACUACUCCUUUUAUCGUCGAAUCCGGAAGGAAGAAGUGGUUGUAGCUUUGAAGAAGAUGAAGCAUAGAAAAGCAAUAGGCCCAGACGAUAUACCAAUCGAAGUGUGGAAAGUUUUGGGAGAGACAGGUAUAACAUGGCUCACUGACCUUUUCAAUAGGAUUUUGAAAACGAAGAAGAUGCCAAAUGAGUGGCGAACGAGCACUUUGGUGCCUAUCUACAAGAAUAAGGGCGACGUACAAAAUUGCAUGAACUAUAGGGGUAUUAAGCUAAUGAGUCAUACAAUGAAGCUCUGGGAAAGAGUCAUUGAGCAUAGAUUGAGGCAAGAGACACGGGUUUCGGACAACCAAUUCGGGUUCAUGCCAGGGCGCUCAACCAUGGAGGCAAUCUAUCUCUUACGAAGAUUGAUGGAAAGAUAUAGAGAUGGGAAAAAGGAUUUACACAUGGUCUUUAUAGAUUUGGAAAAAGCGUAUGAUAGGGUCCCAAGAGACAUUCUUUGGAGGAUUUUAGAGAAGAAAGGAGUACGAGUAGCAUAUAUCCAAGCUAUAAAGGAUAUGUAUGAAGGAGCAAAGACCGCCGUAAGAACUCAUGAAGGACAAACCGAAAGCUUUCCCAUAACUGUAGGAUUACAUCAAGGCUCAUCCUUAAGUCCUUACCUUUUUGCGUUGGUAAUGGAUGAGUUAACAGGACAUAUUCAAGAUGAUAUUCCUUGGUGUAUGCUUUUCGCAGACGAUAUAGUGUUGAUAGAUGAAACUCAGGAAGGGGUAAAUGCAAAGCUUAACCUUUGGAGAGAAGUGUUGGAAUCUAAAGGUCUUCGCCUAAGCCGAUCAAAAGACAGAAUAUAUGGAGUGCAAGUUCAGUGCAAAUGGAGGCCAAAACGAGUUAGGGGUGAGGAUCGGAGAUCAAGAAAUACCAAAGAGCGACCGUUUUCGUUACCUAGGAUCUAUCUUGCAAAAGAACGGAGAAUUAGAUGGAGAUCUCAACCAUAGAAUACAAGCUGGAUGGAUGAAGUGGAAGAGUGCAUCCGGCGUGUUGUGUGACCGCCGUAUGCCACUGAAGCUCAAGGGAAAAUUUUUAUAGGACGGCAAUAAGGCCGGCAAUGCUGUAUGGCACAGAAUGUUGGGCGGUGAAACAUCAACACGUACACAAAAUGGGUGUAGCGGAGAUGAGGAUGCUUCGUUGGAUGUGUGGGCACACGAGAAAGGAUAAGAUUAGGAAUGAGGAUAUCCGGGGUAAAGUAGGAGUAGCCGAAAUUGAAGGAAAGAUGAGAGAAAAUCGGUUACGGUGGUUUGGACAUGUGCAAAGAAGGCCUACUGACGCUCCGAUUAGAAGAUGCGACUAUGGGACAGAGGUUCAGGGCCGAAGGGGUAGAGGAAGACCUAGGAAAACUUUGGAAGAGACUCUAAGAAAAGACUUAGAGUACUUGGAUCUAACGAAGGACAUGACACAGGAUCGAGCACAAUGGCGUUCUAAGAUUCAUAUAGCCGAUCCCACUCAGUGACUUGGAUUUUCCAAGUCUCCAACCGAGAAGUUUUCCUCACUCGGGAAAUUAAGGGAACACUACCCCAACCUACAUGCUCCACUCAGAAAGCUUCAACAUACAAGCUUCAACAAAAGAAAAUUCAAAGAACUUAGCGAAGAAGGCUUUGGUGUAUUUAACACAAUACGUUGAAAUGAAGGAAAGCUUAUUUAUUGAUAUCCCCGAUAAGCUACAAAUAUGUACAUAUACAUGAGUCAAAAUAAACACACAAGAGGGAGCCUUCACAAAGGUUGCUUAGGAGAAGUCUCAGCAGUCGGUAGAGCCCCAGAAAGAGAAGGCACCGGAGGGGGAUCAUUUGGAGCCUCAGUACUGGACAGAACCCUAGAAGGAGGAGGCAUCAGAGGUUGAUCAUUUGGAGCUUCAUUACGCGGUACAGCCCCAGAAGACGAAGGCAAUAAAUGCCUUUGGAACAAACCCACAAAUCUCUGAUGAUCAAGUAAAACCUGACCAUCAGUUUCCUUCAUCUGGUCAAGCUUCCUCUUCAUGUUUGUAGCAUAGUCAUGUGCGAGCCGGUGCAACUGUUUAUUCUCAUGCUUGAGCCCUCUAAUCUCCUGUUUGAGACUCAUCACUUCAGCCGCCAAUGAUUCAACUUGGCGGGUUCGAGCAAAUAGGCGUUGGGCCAUAUUAGACACAGAACCUGCACACUGAACACUGAGAGCCAGCGAAUCCUUAACAGCUAACUCAUCAGACCGUUUGGAAAGUAGUCUGUUAUCUUUGGGAGUGAGAAGGUUCCUGGCCACCACCGCAGCGGUCAUAUCAUUCUUCAUCACGGAAUCCCCAACGGUAAGAGGACCAGUAGGGGAGACGAAGGAUGGGCGCCAUAUGUUGUCUGGAGAAGGCGGGGCUGCCUCUUCAACAAGGUUCAAGUCAAAACGACGGUCGGAGGGGCCAGACAUUUUCAAAGGUGUUGAAGAGAGAAGAGGUCGGACAAAUCAAGAUCUUAGAAGUGCAAGAAUGAAGCUUCUACUGGUGGAGAUUCAAGUGUGCUUUGGAACUUAAUGCCAGCCCCUAUAAAAAUCUGCACUCGACGGAGCUUCAGAAAUCGAAGAGGGCGCCUGCUCAGAAAUCGAAGAGGCGUUUGCUUUCUCAAAAGCUGGGCUGCUUAGAGAUCACGAGGGUUGAUCUCAGAAAUCGAAGAGCGUUUGCUUUCUCAAAAGUUGGGCUGCUCAAAGACCACGAAGGCCGAUCUCAGAAAUCGAAGAGGCGCUCGCUUUCUCAAAAGCUGGGCUCCCCAGAGACCACGAGGGCCGAUCUCAGAAAUCGAAGAGGCACCUACUUUUCCAGCCUUGUCAGCACCUGUCACACACGCACACUCAGCUUUGCGGAAAUUAUGGGCAUUCUGUCAAAGACUUCUGGGGAAGUAGAAAACACAUGAAUCUUACUGUUCAAUCACCCACUUCCCACACGCAACAAUAGCUCAUGGGUACCACAGAUAACUUUGCCAAAGUUCUCUGCCAAAGUUGAGCACGUGAAGCUUGCAGCUCCCACUACAUCGCUCUGACCAAGAAGGGUAAAAGAAUAGCAAAGAAACAGCACUAACAAAGUUUAGACCCAUAAAUUUUGAAGGUCUAGCUACCAUAUUAUUACCCACAAGGGUAAAGGAACAGUACCACUGCUGGAUAAUUGGAAAGUCCCUGUGUGUCAACCUCUGUGCUUCGUGGCAAGGUAGACUAGCAAACAUGCCCAACCUUUACUCACAUUCGAGAAAACACUCCCAAUAAGAUUGCUUGCUCCAAAAUCGAAGAGGCACCGUCCUCCGAAUCUCGAGAGCCAGACUCCCAACAUGACUACUUUCUUAAAAAUCGAAGAGAGGGUAAAGGAACAGUACCAUUGCUGGAUAAUUGGAAAGUCCCUGUGUGUCAACCUCUGUGCUUCGUGGCAAGGUAGACUAGCAAACAUGCCCAACCUUUACUCACAUUCGAGAAAACACUCCCAACAAGAUUGCUUGCUCCAAAAUCGAAGAGGCACCGCCCUCCGAAUCUCGAGAGCCAGACUCUCCCAACAUGAUUACUUUCUCAAAAAUCGAAGAGACACUGCUCCCCGAAUCUCGAGAGCCAGACCCCCAGCAUGAUUGCUUUCUCAAAAAUCGAUGAGGCAUCGUUCUCCGAAUCAAUCGAAGAGGCGCUCGCUUUCUCAAAAGCUGGGCUGCUCAGAGACCACGAGGGCCGAUCUCAGAAAUCGAAGAGGCACCUACUUUUCUAGCCUGUCAGCACCUGUCACACGCACACUCAGCUUUGCAGAAAUUAUGGGCAUUCUGUCGAAGACUUCUGGUGAAGUAGAAAGCACAUGAAUCUUUACUGUUCAAUCACCCACUUCCCACACGCAACAAUAGCUCAUGGGUACCACAGAUAACUUUGCCAAAGUUCUCUGCCAAAGUUGAGCACGUGAAGCUUGCAGCUCCCACUACAUCGCUCUGACCAAGAAAGGUAAAAGAAUAGCAAAGAAACAGCACUAACAAAGUUUAGACACAUAAAUUUUGAAGGUCUAGCUACCAUAUUAUUACCCACAAGGGUAAAGGAACAGUACCACUGCUGGAUAAUUGGAAAGUCCCUGUGUGUCAACCUCUGUGCUUCGUGGCAAGGUAGACUAGCAAACAUGCCCAACCUUUACUCACAUUCGAGAAAACACUCCCAACAAAGAUUGCUUGCUCCAAAAUCGAAGAGGCACCGUCCUCCGAAUCUCGAGAGCCAGACUCCCAACAUGACUACUUUCUCAAAAUCGAAGAGAGGGUAAAGGAACAGUACCAUUGCUGGAUAAUUGGAAAGUCCCUGUGUGUCAACCUUUGUGCUUCGUGGCAAGGUAGACUAGCAAACAUGCCCAACCUUUACUCACAUUCGAGACAACACUCCCAACAAGAUUGCUUGCUCCAAAAUCGAAGAGGCACCGCCCUCCGAAUCUCGAGAGCCAGACUCCCAACAUGAUUACUUCCUCAAAAAUCGAAGAGACACUGCUCUCCGAAUCUCGAGAGUCAGACCCCCAACAUGAUUGCUUUCUCAAAAAUCGAAGAGGCAUCGUUCUCCCGAAUCUCGAGAGCCAGAUACCACAGACCACUUUUUCAAAGUGCUCUGACAGAGUUAAAACAUGUGAAACUGGCAGCUCCCACUACCGUGCUAUGACCAAGCAGGGUAAAGGAAUAGCAUUACUACUUGUUGUUAGGGAGACUCCUAUAUAUGUCGACCUCCAUCCCCAACGGACAGGCAGACCUGCAAAAAUGCUCAACCCUUCAUCAUAUCUGAGAGGGCACUCCCAACGAAAGCCUUUCGAAAUAUUCAGCUUUCUUUCCCCCCGAUAAUACCUCUGCAAACAAGCUAUACUAGAGCAAGAAUAUCUCAUAUCAUCAUCAGGGUUAAAAGCAAGAGUAUCCCAUAUCAUGCUUUUUCCCUGUUUUUUUCUUUUGGCCUUGUUUUUACCUGCAAGACAAGGAGAAAGAGAGCAAUCAGUCAGCACUUGGAAUCAAGCUUCCAGCCAGGAACUGACUGCCUGGAACCCCUUACCUGAUUACUUACCUGGCAUUGCUCUCGAGUACUCAUCUUCAACAUCUUAUGUUUCCAGGGAAGAUUCCGCAUCUGCUUGAGGAACAGAUAGGGCAAGUGCGAAGGAUACAAGGAAGCAUGUGGAGACAAGCGUAACAGCACACGUGCCGAUACAUCCAUUACUCUGUCAAAAGCAAAAGUAUCCCAUAUCAGCAGGGUGGAACGUACUCUAGAUUUGAUGGACUUGUUUUGACCCUCAAAUUCUUCAGUCGGCCUUAUACUCUGGAGGAAACCAGAAAACCCUCCAGCUCAGUUCAAGAAUAAGCCUGUGGAAAGUUACUUCUUCAAAAGCAAAAGUAUCUCAUAUCAUCUCUUCUCAUUUUUCUUCUCUUUAUCCUUCAUGCUGCUGCAAGAUGGGGAGAAGGUGAACAAUCAGUCGGAGCUCUGAUUGCUUACCUUGUCUGUCACCUCUUUCAGCAGACCCCCUAGCUCGGCGACUUGGGGGACUCCUACUACAUGGUUUGUAUCGCGCUUGACCAAGCCUGAAACUACAAGUAAGCUUCAAGUGAAAUUGAUACAUUACCUUGUGCAUCUCCACCAGUUAAAGAUACCACCCCUGGAUGGAGGAAGAGUACUUCCAGAGAAGAUGCCACAUCUACCUAUGAGACAGAUAAGGCAAGUCAAGACGACACCACACUCCGAUACUUAGAAGUUUCGUGAUUACGAGAUCAUUCUCCCACAAUAUUUUCCUAAUGUCAUUUGUACUAAAUCAUUCACUUGUACUCACUAAAGGAGAGCUUGAACCUAUGUACUUGUGUAAACCCUUCACAAUUAAUGAGAACUCUUCUAUUCCGUGGACGUAGCCAAUCUGGGUGAACCACGUACAUCUUGUGUUUGCUUUCCUAUCUCUAUCCAUUUAUAUACUUAUCCACACUAAUGACCGGAGCAAUCUAGCGAAGAUCACAAAAAGCGACCGUUUUCGUUACCUAUGAUCUAUCUUGUAAGAGAACGGAGAAUUAGAUGGAGAUCUCAACCAUAGAAUACGAGCUGGAUGGAAAAGAAGAGUGCAUCCGGCGUGUUGUGUGACCGUCGUAGGCCACUGAAGCUCAAGGGAAAAUUUUUAUAGGACGGCAAUAAGGCCAGCGAUGUUGUAUGGCAGAGAAUGUUGGGUGGUGAAGCAUCAACACGUACACAAAAUGGGUGUAGCGGAGAUGAGGAUGCUUCGUGGGAUGUGUGGGCACACGAGAAAGGAUAAGAUUGGGAAUGAGGAUAUCCGAGGUACAGUAGGAGUAGCCGAAAUUGUAGGAAAGAUGAGAGAAAAUCGGCUCUGGUGAUUUGGACAUGUGCAAAGAAGGCCGACUGACGCUCCGGUUCGAAGAUGUGACUACGGGACAGAGGUUCAGGGCCGAAGGGGUAGAGGAAGACCUAGGAAAACUUUGGAAGAGACUCUAAGAAAAGACUUAGAGUACUUGGAUCUAACGGAGGAUAUGACACAAAACCGAGCGCAAUGGCGUUCUAGGAUUCAUAUAGCCGACCCCACUUAGUGGGAAAAGGCUUUGUUGUUGUUGUUGUUGUUGUUCUCUACCUUUGAACUAUUGAUGCAUGUAUCAAGACUGUUCAGACAGCCGACCCCGCUUAGUAGGAUAAAACUUGGUGGUGGUUGUUUGUUUCCUUUUUUUUUUCCUUGAAUGAAUUGUUGCCUUGUGUCAGUGUAGAUCAAUGACACUAAAAGCAUAAUUGGGUUGUUACCCUAAAUUGUAAUUGUUGGUCUACUGCCUUCCGAAGCAAGCUCGGACUUAAUUAGAGUACUUGGAAAGUUUAGGCUGCCUAGUAAUAUUCUGUUGAGAUUAGUUUCUUCUUAUGGGUGUGGGUAACUAUGAUCCAGUUGACCUGUUUAGUGUUUACCUAAGGUCAAGCAUACGUGUGUAGUUGAUUUAUUGUGGUUCGAUCUGUGUCUUCUCUGGUUAACCCGUUUAUGUAUGUCCUGAAAUAUUACAAAUGUACCAUGAUAUGUGUGUCAUUGAUUAGUCAUAUGUUGAUCUUAGUUUCUAUUGCUAGGUUGUUGGUGGUUGCAAAUGCUGGAGAUUGUCGAGCAGUGCUGUGCCGCCGUGGAAAAGCAAUUGAAAUGUCAAGAGAUCACAAACCAAUUUGCAGCAAAGAGAAACAACGGAUCGAGGCAUCUGGAGGACAUGUGUAUGAUGGUUAC